Eriocheir sinensis (Chinese mitten crab) is the source of this 997-nucleotide long non-coding RNA. RefSeq lists it as uncharacterized. NCBI's taxonomy places the organism in Eukaryota, Metazoa, Arthropoda, Malacostraca, Decapoda, Varunidae. The transcript has 3 exons. The record is from RefSeq and is a predicted model, not a curated record.
GUGGAAGAAGUGAGCGACAGACUUUAAAGUGGUUUGGCCACAUGGAGUGAAUGGAGGAGAGUAAGAUGACCAGAAGGGUGUAUGUGAGUGAGAUAGAGGGAGGGAAUGCUAGAGGACGACCUCCAGUGAAAUGGAGGGAUAGGGUGCAAGAGUACAUUAGGGAGAGGGGGGAAAGAUCUUUGAGAAACUUUGAGCAGGCAAGGAGGGAGUGUCUGGAUAGAGGAAGAUGGAAGCUCUUCUGCCGUGGCCAUCCCCUGGUGGGAACUCCUAGGAGCAGGCGUCGAUGAAAUGAUGAUGAUGAUGAUGAUGAUGGGUCUAGAACAAUGUUUUCAAAGUCACAAUCAACAAACUAGCUCUGUCUUGCCCCUAACCUUAAAAAUCAUCAAAAAAUGAGAACACGCCAGGUUUGCCAAGACCCCCAAAGCUCCCCCAGUAACAAAUAAGAUCACUAGGUUUUGCCGAAGUAAACACUAAAGCUUCUUCCUCCUCUUCCUCCUCCUCUCAGAUCAACCGCACGUGCAAGACAUGCCAGGCUCUGAUGUCCAGUGUGGAGGAGAUCGGAAUUCCUAUCAUGAGGGAGACACACAACCGCACCACACCCUCACCGGACGCCAGCAAGCUAUUGCCAUCCUGUAGUCGCCACACCUCCAGGCUGGUCGUGGCUUGGGGGGGAACCGUACAUUUUCUCCUCAGUUCUGUGUCUUAAUUUUAGCAGGGAGUUCUCCAGGCACACGCCAGCAUUGCCGCCAAGGACUUCACACUGCACUGCCCGAAACACCCGUCGAGGGUGAUGAGGAUGAGGAGACAGUCAAGAUUGUGCAGUGGGUGAAGAGCAAUGAGCCAAUGGGAGCCACCAUCAAGCAGGACGACCACUCCGGAGCCAUCAUCAUCACCCGCAUCAUGCAUGGCUGACUGCUCUGGCCUCAUCCAUGCUGCCGACGAGGUGCAGGGGUCAACACCUUCAAUGUGGAGGGCAAGACACCGGCGGAUGUACACA